AAGUUGUCAACAGGUUUGGAACAACUUGUUGACAACUUGUAACGUAACAACCUUGUCGAAAUUUGCAAGGUUGUUCUGACAAGUCUGUGACAUGCUUGAUAUAAGAAGAUUGUUACAACCUUGUGUUGACAACCUUGUAAUAUCCUUGUUAGGCUAUAUCAUGGCUGUAACAAACUUGUUAGCACAAUCUUGUAACAAGGCUGAUAAUGCCAUCAAGCUUGUUACAAGUUGUUAACAGCUUGUUUCAAACUUGUUACAACAAACUU
This is a non-coding RNA of Paramuricea clavata, 266 nucleotides long. The record is from the annotation of a GenBank genome assembly. NCBI's taxonomy places the organism in Eukaryota, Metazoa, Cnidaria, Anthozoa, Malacalcyonacea, Plexauridae.